CCUACGGGAGGCAGCAGUGGGGAAUAUUGGACAAUGGGCGCAAGCCUGAUCCAGCCAUGCCGCGUGAGUGAUGAAGGCCCUAGGGUUGUAAAGCUCUUUUGUACGGGAAGAUAAUGACGGUACCGUAAGAAUAAGCCCCGGCUAACUUCGUGCCAGCAGCCGCGGUAAUACGAAGGGGGCUAGCGUUGCUCGGAAUCACUGGGCGUAAAGGGUGCGUAGGCGGGUUUUUAAGUCAGAGGUGAAAUCCUGGAGCUCAACUCCAGAACUGCCUUUGAUACUGAAAGUCUUGAGUAUGGGAGAGGUGAGUGGAACUGCGAGUGUAGAGGUGAAAUUCGUAGAUAUUCGCAAGAACACCAGUGGCGAAGGCGGCUCACUGGCCCAUAACCUGACGCUGAGGCACGAAAGCGUGGGGAGCAAACAGGAUUAGAUACCCUGGUAAGUCCACGCCGUAAACGAUGAAUGCCAGCCGUUAGUGGGUUUACUCAACUAGUGGCGCAGCGUACGUACUUACGUCAUCCGUCCGUCGGGAGGUACGGUCGCGAAGAAUUAAACUACAAGGAAGUUAGACGGCGUGAGACGUACGCCGAACGGACGACGACGAGGGAGGUAGG
RNAcentral lists this ribosomal RNA (611 nucleotides) under uncultured bacterium. RNAcentral describes it as "bacterial SSU rRNA". The stretch from base 1 to 521 matches the Rfam family "Bacterial small subunit ribosomal RNA", at positions 338 to 873 of the family's 1533-position model. The record is from RNAcentral.